CUGACUGACCGAUAGUGAACCAGUACCGUGAGGGAAAGGCGAAAAGAACCCCGGCGAGGGGAGUGAAAAAGAACCUGAAACCGUGUACGUACAAGCAGUGGGAGCACAGGUUUACCUGUGUGACUGCGUACCUUUUGUAUAAUGGGUCAGCGACUUAUAUUCUGUAGCAAGGUUAACCGUAUAGGGGAGCCGUAGGGAAACCGAGUCUUAACCGGGCGUUAAGUUGCAGGGUAUAGACCCGAAACCCGGUGAUCUAGCCAUGGGCAGGUUGAAGGUUGGGUAACACUAACUGGAGGACCGAACCGACUAAUGUUGAAAAAUUAGCGGAUGACCUGUGGCUGGGGGUGAAAGGCCAAUCAAACCGGGAGAUAGCUGGUUCUCCCCGAAAGCUAUUUAGGUAGCGCCUCGUGAAUUCAUCUCCGGGGGUAGAGCACUGUUUCGGCUAGGGGGCCAUCCCGGCUUACCAACCCGAUGCAAACUGCGAAUACCGGAGAAUGUUAUCACGGGAGACACACGGCGGGUGCUAACGUCCGUCGUGAAGAGGGAAACAACCCAGACCGCCAGCUAAGGUCCCAAAGUCAUGGUUAAGUGGGAAACGAUGUGGGAAGGCCCAGACAGCCAGGAUGUUGGCUUAGAAGCAGCCAUCAUUUAAAGAAAGCGUAAUAGCUCACUGGUCGAGUCGGCCUGCGCGGAAGAUGUAACGGGGCUAAACCAU
This 715-nucleotide ribosomal RNA is filed under the name Salmonella enterica. RNAcentral's name for it is "partial 23S ribosomal RNA". It matches the Rfam family "Bacterial large subunit ribosomal RNA", at positions 476 to 1190 of the family's 2925-position model. Lineage: Bacteria; Pseudomonadati; Pseudomonadota; Gammaproteobacteria; Enterobacterales; Enterobacteriaceae. The record is from RNAcentral.